RNAcentral lists this long non-coding RNA (345 nucleotides) under Carica papaya (papaya). Its description in RNAcentral is "long non-coding RNA (CPAP_LNC006783)". Lineage: Eukaryota; Viridiplantae; Streptophyta; Magnoliopsida; Brassicales; Caricaceae. The record is from RNAcentral.
CAACUUACCCUUUUUACCGAACUGCUUUUUUUGCUUGUAAGGGAAGAUCUUAAGGAAGACCUGAUCGCCAAUAACAAAUUCUAAGGGUCUUCUGUGGUUGUCGGCAUAACUUUUUUGGUGACUCUGAGCAGUAGCUAAGUUCCUUCGAAUGAUAGCAACUUUCUCGAUAGUCUUCUAGAUGUAAUCAGGUUCUAAACGAUGCUAAUUCCCAACUUCAUUCAAAUAAGUGGGAGAACGACAGGGCCUACCAUAGAGAGCUUUAUACGAAGCUAUGCUGAUACUGGAAUGAUAAUUGUUAUUCUAAGAAAAUUCACACAAGGGAAGGUACUCAUACUAGUUACCACU